This is a long non-coding RNA of Rhipicephalus sanguineus (brown dog tick), 242 nucleotides long. RefSeq lists it as uncharacterized. The transcript is spliced from 3 exons. Lineage: Eukaryota; Metazoa; Arthropoda; Arachnida; Ixodida; Ixodidae. The record is from RefSeq and is a predicted model, not a curated record.
ACCAUGAGGCCAUGCCCCACAGCAGUUCCUCACAAGGGGUGGCAUCCAGUCGGCACUCGCAGGCACAGCAGCCACACACAGCACAACAGCACAGCUACACUCGCGACCACGGUCACAUCACCACACCUCCUACUCCGAGAGGCGGCUACCCCGACAGCCGGGCGAGAGAAUUUUGAGACCUAAGCCGAAACAAGUACACUUCCAGGGAUUCUGGGAGCUAUGACGAUGGCAAACAUACACGU